UAUGGGGAUCGCCGUACAAUAUAUUAGUGUUUAAAUUUAAUAUUUAUUGUUCUAAAAUCACCAACAUGGCGGAGGAAGAAUCUUAAAUGUGCUACCUAAAUACGGCGGACCUACUCAGCAUUCGAGCAUGCUAUGAAGGAAAACUGCAUUCCCAAUAUCGGCAAGUUGGCCCACAUUGAUGGAGGAAAAUCCACCACCGAUCGGAUGCCAUUUUCUUCCGAAAAACGCACGCAAAGUACUACGCGGUGACGGACAUCGAGUUCGGUUCGACACGAUCGACAACUCUUUGCUGAUGCCGUCGUUCGUCGUGCCGGCUGCGCGUUUGUACCAUUUUUUUGCAUUUUCCUUUUUGAUCAGGCGUAUGAUGGAUCCUUUUAUUACAAUAAAGUGCGAAAGUAAAUUGAGAUCGUCCGAUAAAGCUGAGCAGUAUAAAACGGUGCGAAACUGGGUCCACCUCCAGUAGCAGUGGCAAUGACCACGAAUGACGCGGUUACCGCUUUCACCGCUGUUCCAAAAUACGACGGAAAACAGCAUUCCCAACAUCGGAAUCUUGGCCCACAUUGAUGAAGGAAACCACCGAGCGGCAAAACACACGCGAAGUUCCACACGGUGAAGUACUUCCUAAUGCAGAACCUCGAACACGGCAUCGCGGCUUGAAGUGAGGGAGAAAGCUUUGAUUGGCAAGACCAUCGGAUGAAUCUUCUGAGCACCCCGGGGCACAUAUCUUCCACGAUGGAAGAGGAACGGUCGCUCACAGCUGUCAACGGAACGGUGGUCAUUUUAGACGGAUUGGCGCAAACCGGUACCAUCUACAUUACGGAUCAAACAUCGAUAGGCAUCAACUUCCGCGGGUGAUUUUUGCUAAUUAAUAGGUAGAUGAUCGUUUUCGGCAGCACCCCAGUUUCUACCCCAACGCUCCCCAUGGAGCGGUUCUCCUAUUUUGAGUCUACUUCCACGAUUGGAUCGUAACUAUUUUUUUCACGGAGAAGUUUUUGUAAAUGUUGCAAAAUAA
Molecule: long non-coding RNA, 1012 nt
Organism: Armigeres subalbatus
Lineage: Eukaryota; Metazoa; Arthropoda; Insecta; Diptera; Culicidae
Exons: 3
Source: RefSeq, a predicted model, not a curated record